AUGCUGCGCUUUCUGAGGACAGGAGAGCAUGGGUGCCUGCUGCCCGGGGCGCUGGCACUUUUCAGACCUUUCCUUUCGAGAAAUCGAGCUGCGGAUAGUGUGUGUACAGUUCAGCAAAGCAGGGCACGGAAGCACAACCAACAUGUUCAAAAGCUGAAGAUGAACGUUGGUUUGCGACUUGGGGUUGAAAGACACUUUAAUUUUUUUUUUUUCUUGGAGCAGAGAAAGGUUUAUUGCAGGGCUGAGCAAGGAGGACAGGUGCUCAUGCCCAAGAAAACCCCGACACUUUAAUUUUUAAGUCGGUUUCCGAAUUUCAGGCCAAAUGCUGCUCUCAGUGCACUGCAGGAGUGCACGCCAGGUCCCAGUGGCCGGGAGAGCUAGGGGAGGCUAGUGGCCGGAAGGGGGCGGAGAGGCGUCAGUGGCCUCGAAAAGAGUUAGGGGCAUCAGACCUGAGUGGAUUCAGAGGACUUGUGCUUCACCAUCCUGCUCUGAGAGGUUUUGAAUUAGGUUUCUGGAGAGUUUCCCCUUCCCUGAGACCCAGCUUUGAGUUUAACUCCUGGGACCAAUGUACUCCGGGACUGUGCCGCGAGCGCCUGAAAAGGACCCCCUAGGCGGAGUAGAAACAUUUGAAGGUGGGGCCCUCUUGGCUCUGAAGAGGUUUGAGGUCCAGGGGCCGGGGCUAGAGGAAGAGCUGGGACCUGGCUUUUAAUGGAGAUCAUCUUUCCCAGCACAGGAAGGCAUUUGUCUGCCUAAUGACCUGCAAGCAGGAAGGAUACUCUGUAACCUCACUUUGCUCUGCUGACCUUCUCCGGAGACGCAUCAACGAAUCCCUUUAAGAGAAAACAGGACAAUGGGCGUAGUGGACGCUGCAGAAGCCGUUAGUAAGUCCAUUUCCUCUAUUCUUUUCCAUUGUAUGAUAUUACAAGAAAUUGAAUAUAGUUCCCUGGGCUACACAGCCAAUUGAAGAAUAUCAAUAAAAAUUUAAGCAUCUAUUCAGACGUGACUGUUGGGGCCCAAAGCUUGACCCUGGGUGAGACUGGACCCAAUAUAUGAGUAUCACCCAAAGAUCUUUCUCAAAUUGACAUACAAAAGACUUGGGAAGAGAUUCAAGGCAAAAAUAAUCCUUAAAAUCUCAUUUAAAGUCCUAAAAUUUGAAGAACUUUUUUUCAGAAAUAGGACAGAAUGCUCCGUAAUGAAAAGUGAAAGAAAUGAGGUUGACACUGUGGGAAUAACUCUUCCGGAAGUCACUGCAGCCAUCCUCCAGCACCAGAGAAACAGGCUUCCAGGACAUCUGGAAUCAACUACCAUUCUGAGCACUUUUAAGGAUCUGAAAAUUAUAUAAUUAGAACUCAUUAAAUAAAAAAAAUUAUCUGUGUUUUCUAGAUUUAGAGUUUAGAUUUUUGAAAGCAGGUUAAGAAAGGUAGUCUAGGGGCUCAAUAUACAACUUUGAAGCCAAGUUUUGUUUUGGUAAUACUCAGUUGAGAAAUUUAAAACCUAAUUCAGGUUUUCCUUUAGCUCAUGAAAUAAUGUUUGCCUCCUCAUUCUGAAUUAUUUCUGAAAGUCUUUAUUAUCAUUUUGUAUUCUUCAAAUGUAUGGAGUUACAGUUUGGGAAUCCUUUCACUGUGACUAGUCAGCAUCAGUGAUGGAGGAAAGAAAGAGGUCUGGUGAGAGAAAGGAGAGCUGAAACUUCAGACUAAAAAGGUCUUAUGAUAAUUUGAAGGUUUAAAAUAUCUGUAACAUCCAAGAUCCACUGCUAUAUAAAAAUAUUCCAUAGUCAUCACAAUAAAACUACCUGUUAGCUUAAGUAUUCCUCUCCUCUGACAGAUGACAUGAGGGUCAGGUAAGUACCUUGCUCCUGGUGGGUCUGAUAGUAGAUGCUGUCUCUAGAAGAGGAGAUGUCAACUGAAGUAGGUGUGUUUUGUUUUGGAAACCAUUUGUGUCUCCAGGUCCAUUUAUUCAUUCAGCAAGGAUUUAUCAAGCGGCUACCAUGUGCCCAGAGAUGCUGUAGUUCUUGGUAAUGUAGCCGUGAACAAAAGUGAUUGAAAAAAAAAAAAAAAAAAACCCCAAAAAACCUUUCCUGAAGCUUAGUUAGGAGAGACUAAGUAAUAAAUUUUUUUAUAGUGGUGAUAAGAAAAAUGGUGAAAAAACAGGAAAGUGGGCUAGGGGAUAGGUCAGCUUGGGUGGGUUGACAUUUAGACUGAGGCGGUCAGACCUGUGGGUGUCUGGGGAAAGGGCCAGGCUGAGGGAGCAGCACGAGCCAAGGCCCUGUGGGAUGUUCACCAGGCACCGCUGCGGCUGUGUGGAGUGAGCAAGAGGGGGGUCAAGGAUGACUCCAAGGUUUUGAGUAACUGGAGGAAUGGGAGAAGUGUGUGCUUGGGGAGUGAUGUGUAGCUUUCUAAGGCUUCUGGAUUCGUUCACUAGAAGGGAAUGCCAGCAUCUGAGGGUGAGGCUCAAUCUCGUCAGCACUUGGUGCCCAUCCUCACCACAGGCACAGACGCCUGCCCUCCCGUCUCCACUGAGUCUCCAUUCUACUCUCUGAACUUCCUGGUCAUCUUCUCCGGUGCCUUCCCAAGGAACUCCACUGUUUGCACAGAAGACUGCAGUUCUUACCCUGUAAUUCAGGGUCUCUUCAUAUACUGUUCCAUCCUUUUUGUCCAUCAGUCCCUUUCAUUUUCUCUGAAAAUGCAGACCAACUGGACCCUGCAGGCUCUCAGACUUUGAUACUGUUCCUCCUACAAUGCUCUUCAUCUCUAACUUCACAGUUCUGUCUUCAAAACUCAACCUAAAUGUCCCUUUCAUGAUUUUUCUAAAUAUUUCACUGCUGCAGCGACUUGCUUUUAUGACAGUUAUCUACAUCUUUUCAUCACCAGGCUGCCUUGUCUGAGGCAAAGACAUGUCUCUGAUUCAUUUGGAUUUCAGAGUACUCAAUGUAGUACCUAGAAUGAAUAUCUGACUGGCACUUCCAUUAUCUGGAGUUGAUUAAAAUCCAGGGGACUAUGAAAUGGAAUAUAGAAUUAGAAAUGAAAUAUGAAAUUAAUCCAUUGGAACAUGCCCUACAUCGUAAUGCACACUUAACACUAAAAUUUUGGAUGAGUGAUAAAUGAGUGAGGAUAAAGUCAUAAAGUGGUAGAUAAAUAGUGCUGGUCAUUCCUUGGAAUAAGAUGAACUUUUCCAUCCAAGCAAACCUUGCCUUACUAGUGUCUUCUGCAACUGUGAACUGAUGACUUUUAAUUUUAAAAUUAGUCACAUUAUUUUCUCUCAAUGGAUGUUCUUUGUUAUUGUGCCUAUGUUUCUGUUGUGUGUCCUGUGAAGUAGAUCCCCCACCUCCCCAAACCUGCCUACUCAAAAAGAAAAAAUGAUGCUGAUAAACAUGAACACAAUGAGACUGUUUCUCCUCAGGUUCCUCUAUGGACUGGUGAUUGUCUAUACAUAGCCUUCAUUUUCUUUUCAUUUCACUAAAACAAUGCUUAAGGUAUGAAUUGCAAUUAGGAAAUAAACUGCCAAAGAAAAGCAAAGAACUCUUUCUAUAAAAUUCUGAGACUAGAGUUCUUUAGACACGUCAUGCUUACUGUGCUCUGUGUGUUCACAUUAUUUAGACUUAAUUUUAGGAGGUGAAUGCCUGGUUCUCCCCACCCUUUUAGUUCUUCUUUUUUUCUUUUAGUACCGAAAAGGAGGUACACACUCCAAUAUGUUCCAGUUUCAGGAAAAAACCCUGAAAAUUCUAGUACUUGUGGUGGUAACAUUGGAAAGUAUUUUAAAAUAAUUCAUUGCAGGACCAGGAAUAACUGAAAAUACAAAGAUAAAAUUUAAUUUCACUAGAAUGUAUGUUUCAUGGCCACUGAAUUCCAACAACCCUUUAGUUUGAAAGCUAUUUUUCAAGUUGGAAAUUGGACACAGAGAAAUUUCCUUUAUCACGGGUGAAAACCUACCUGUAGGGGUUGAAAUUUUUCUCCGAAUGAACUGUACUUCUCUCCUUGUGUAAAUAAAUAAUAUUGGAAAGAGAAUGGAAGUCUUGAAGUAGCAGGAAAUGAAAAGAACAGAAGAGUAAGAGGGGCUCAGUGAGGCAGCUAGUCUUGAAGUGGCACUCCAAAUAUUUUAUUUCCACCAAGUAGAGUAUCUACAUUUUCUAACAUCAGGAUAGUUGGCUUUCUUUUUAAAUCAUCAUUGGGCUCUGUAAUGUAAUUUUACAUCAUAUAUUAUUAACAUUUAUAACUGUAAGAAAUGCUUGAAAUUACUUCUGUAUGUGAUCGAAGUAUAAAUUUUGCCAAAAAGAUAUACUGGGUGUCACUGUACAGAUUUAUCUUACAUAUUUUAUGCUGCAGUGUUAGAAGUCUGUUAUAACAAAUCUUAACAGUGUCACGCCUCUGUACAGUUUUCCUUAAAAAAAAAAAGAGAAGCCAAUGUACUUGUAAACAGUAUACUGUGAGAUGAAAAUUUGACAAUUCCUAAAUAUCAUCUCAAUGUACACAAAUCACAAGAUUCUCCCACCUGUGUGGUCAUUUUACAUUGCAAGAGACCCCUGCAGACAAUAUUAUAAAAGGCAACGUUGUUAAAGGGCCCCGGCAGCCAAGUUCGUGCUGCUGGAGUCAGUGCUGCAGCCACUGCCAAUUUCCUCAGUGGCUUGAGGUUGUAAGUUGAUUCCACCAAGGCAAAUGUCAAGUAAUUAGACUUUGUCCAGAUGACUGAACAGCCAGACUUCUCAACCACUCCUUUCACGGGGAUGGCUGGGCUCUGGUCACUUCACCUGCAGGUCAGUCAGGGCACUGGAGAGCUCCUCGUCAGCCUGUGCGGAGACGCUCGCUGGCGUGACGUUGAGAUGGAUGUCGUACUGCUGGUCCAGGCCAAGGUAGCAGUCGCUCAUGAAAUACAGUGUGUAAAUAUACCUCAAAUAUAAAAAUGGAGCAAAAAUGUAAAACCACUCUUCUCAUCACAGUCAUAGUCAACUCUUUUGGAACUCUAGGGUUAAGAUUCUGCUUACCUGCCUGGUACCUCAGGGGUAUAAAAAGAGAUGGAGACCACGUGAUGAUUUCGGACAUAUCCCACUCUUUUCAAAGCGAUAAGUUCUUUCUUAUCCACUUCUCCGAGUAUCAAAAACCAUCCUUCAUCUUUUGAUUUGGGAAAUCGAGGUGUGACUGCAUGGCUGUCUUGCUUUCCCUGUAAACCCACACACGCACACACAAACCCCAUUAAUAACAGCCAGAUUUUCUAUACCACUCGGUUGUCGUUAAAAGGCUAUGUUGUCUUACCUGAAGGCCAUAAAUCUUCAUGUUUUGGUGUGUUCAUGAUCUACACCAUUUUUUAAGAUUCUCAAAGCACCGUAUAGACACUACUUUGUGGCUAGAACCACCAGAAUUAUUUGGCUCUGUUAGAACAGAAAGCCCUGAAUCUUGACAUCAAACUAACAUAUUCUCACACCAUUCUUCUAUGAAAUUAACACUCCAUUUGCAGAUGAACAAAUUGAGAGACAACCAUGUUAAGCAAAUUUUCCAAAGUCUUAAAUCUACAAGAGACUGAUACUCAGGAAAAAGUCAAUCCAGCCUAGACACUGGACCUUGAGAUAAUAAGCACUAUGUCAGAUAAACAUCUUUCCUGCCCCAACCCAAGAAUAAAACUCAUAUGAAAAAGCACAUAUUCUAAUAUGGUGAUAUUAAGAAGUCCUUUCUCUGAGGAAUGGGAAUUGUAAAGCCAAGCAAUUUAUAAAACAUAUUAAUAAGAUUAGAUAUCAUGAUAGUGACAGGACUUGAAGUCUUUAUGUUAGGUUGAUUUUACAAAAUACAAGAUUAUUCUAGAGAUUCUUUAAGACAAAGACUUUCUGGUGUAAAAUGUACAAAUAACGACAUGUACUAAUAAUGAUGUGCACUUAAUCCGACUUUGCUCAACCUUUUACAGGGAGAUGUUUCACAUAAGGCAUUUUUAAAGAGAGGUCAGAGAGCAAUGUAUUUUUACAGCAUUUAGAAACAAACGAAUUUUUUUUAGCAUGAUUAAAUCUAAUUUUAAAGUACUGAUAUUAAGGUGAAAAUCUUGUUGUCAGAAACAUUUGCACAGGCCUCACAAUUAAGUUGUCCCCUGUUAGUGCUCUCCAAGUGCCUUAGACACACCUCAGUACAGUGUGGUAAGUUGUUCGGGUGUUUCUUUGUUGAGACCAUGAGCCCCCUGAGGCUGGGGCACAUUGUUUAGCUAUGUUGACAGGCAUAGCUUCUGUCAGGGUGUCUGCACAGGUCAGGGCAAAGAGAACAGGCAUUGAAAUCAGAGAACUCUCUGCUCCAAGCCCGCUCAUGUUUUCAGACUGUAGGUCCUUGGCAAAUCUAACUCCCCAAGUUCCAUCAUUCUGUAAAAUGGGGAAUCACACCUCCUCACAGGGCAG
Long non-coding RNA from Camelus dromedarius (Arabian camel), 6364 nucleotides. RefSeq lists it as uncharacterized. Lineage: Eukaryota; Metazoa; Chordata; Mammalia; Artiodactyla; Camelidae. The transcript has 5 exons. The record is from RefSeq and is a predicted model, not a curated record.